This 74-nucleotide transfer RNA is filed under the name Clostridiales bacterium. Its description in RNAcentral is "tRNA-Arg". It matches the Rfam family "tRNA". From Rfam's summary of the family: Transfer RNA (tRNA) molecules are approximately 80 nucleotides in length. Their secondary structure includes four short double-helical elements and three loops (D, anti-codon, and T loops). Lineage: Bacteria; Bacillati; Bacillota; Clostridia; Eubacteriales. The record is from RNAcentral.
GCGCUCGUAGCUCAGUUGGAUAGAGCGGUCGCCUCCUAAGUGACAGGUCGGGGAUUCGAGUUCCUUCGGGCGCG